CCGCGGUCCCCAGAGCCCCGGGAGGCGCCGCCGAGGGGGAGCGGGACCGUGGGGUUGGGGAGCACGGCGAGCCCCGUGCCGGCCGCCCCGCCCCUCCCCGCGUUCUGUGUCCGCGGUCGAGGCGUGUGUCGGGUGGGAGUAUCGCAAAUCGCGAGCUUGAAAGAUAGAAAUGCCCGUUGCGCUGGCUGCGUAGCCAAAAGGAAAGCUCACAGCGGUCGGUGGAGCAGAGGGCUUGGAAGGCGGGGAGCUUAGGGCGCUGCUGGAUGAGUGAAGGAACGCACCGAAGGACGAGGGAGCGUGUGUUCGGCACGUCUGCCCCGAAGACGAGAACGAUGCCCGCAGCGGUCACGGAACGCGGACAUGUCGCCCGCUGCACGGCGAGGGCGGGCUGGGAGGUGGGCGCCCCGAAGUCACACGGCGAGCUCUGCCCGAGAAAUACGCCUGGUGUCCAAAAGCUGAAAGCGUGAAUUACGCUCGUCAUGUGGUCCCUCCAGAGGGACUUUACAGUAGCGAAAUCCGAAGCGACAAGAGCUCUGACUUACUUCAUGCGAGCUUUUAGACAGGAACUUCCCCAAAAGUCCUGGAAAUCAAAGACACGCUUCAGUAGAUAUAUUUGCUGUUCUCAAAACAGUUUCCACGAUGACUAAAAACUGAGAACACUUCGAUAUUUCUGUGGUGCAGAGUAGAUUUAAAAUAGCACCGUCUGUGCCUGUAUUUCCCCACGUACUGCUCUUGUUUCCAGUAAAAUGAGGCAACGGUGUUUCACUUUAAGAGCUUUAAGUCUAAAGCAUUGUCUUCAACUCACAUCAUCCUUCUACUCUUCCACGUUAUUAUUAUCUUUAUAAUUGUCACUGGCACAGUUACAAAUGGAGGGCCUAAUCCUGACUUCAUUGACAUGGACAAGCCUGAUAAAGCCAUUGGGAUUGGGGAUGGGAGAAGAGAUUGAAAACUCAAACUCUAAAAACUGUCUGAAGGCAAACAAAUGUAGAAGACAAGAGGGCUUAUAGGGCAGAAUGAAUCAUGGAGCACUUAAUGUAUGUCUAGUUUUGAACAUGGCAAUAGCGAGUUCAGUCUGACAGUAUCCAACUAAUAAAUGGUUUGCUGGAUGAGAGAAGUAAAUAAUGCCCAAGCACCUUGUUUUUAAAGCAGAUGAAUAGCUGUUCGCUGAUUUGCAUAAAAAUAAUGGAUAGUAUAUGUUUUCUGUCAGUGGAAGCGAGGAAAUGCUUGUGAAUGUUGCAAGUAAUUUCCAGUGGCAUGGUGCAGAGACUAAAAUGUGAGCUAGAGAACAGUGCAUUCCAAGCAGGCAAGCGUUUUAAAAUGUAUGCUUAUGAUACCAUUAAAAAAAAUAUUUGAUGACUUUUGCUCUCGUGUCAAUACUGGAUGUGCUGUUAAAAGUCCAUAAUAAACAUGAGAAAUGCAGAAGAUAACAUUGUGGACAUAAUACUGAAAUCAGAACCAUGAUUUGUUGUGGGUUUCCCUCACUACUUUGUCAUUUCUCUUCAAAGCUGUUUCUACCUUUCACUUGAAAGGAGCUCUUUGAGUUCUGAGUAAAUAGAAAACAUCUCAAGCUCAGAUUACUCAAAUGUUUUGAUAACUUUACAGGAAUUUAAAUGUGAUUAGAAAUUGUCAAGGUAAUUAUUAAAGAUAUCUUUAUGUGCUGUGUCAUUUAAACUGUUCUCACCACUGAGAUUGUAAUUAAUUCCUUUAAUGUCUGUUGGGCUGACACAAUAUAGAACUGUUUUUUUUUGGUUUUUUUUUUUUUUUUUUUUUUUUUUAAACAAAUUGUGUUCCUGGGGCAUGCUCCUGUUCCCCUUGAAGUUAAUAGGAG
RNAcentral lists this long non-coding RNA (1828 nucleotides) under Gallus gallus (chicken). RNAcentral describes it as "lncRNA (ENSGALG00010006884.1)". Lineage: Eukaryota; Metazoa; Chordata; Aves; Galliformes; Phasianidae. The record is from RNAcentral.